CGGGGGGGGCAAGCGUUGUUCGGAAUUACUGGGCGUAAAGGGUGCGUAGGCGGCUCUCUAAGUCGGAUGUGAAAACUCUGGGCUCAACCCAGAGCCUGCAUCCGAAACUGGAGGGCUAGGGUUCUGGAGGGGAAAGCGGAAUUCCUGGUGUAGCGGUGAAAUGCGUAGAUAUCAGGAGGAACACCGGUGGCGAAGGCGGCUUUCUGGACAGAUACCGACGCUGAGGCACGAAAGCUAGGGGAGCAAACAGGAUUAGAUACCCUGGUAGUCCUAGCCCUAAACUAUGGAUACUUGCUGUGGGGGGGAUUGAAGCCCCUUGUGGCGAAGCUAACGCAUUAAGUAUCCCGCCUGGGGGAGUACGGUCGCAAGGCUG
RNAcentral lists this ribosomal RNA (373 nucleotides) under uncultured organism. RNAcentral's name for it is "partial 16S ribosomal RNA". It matches the Rfam family "Bacterial small subunit ribosomal RNA", at positions 526 to 896 of the family's 1533-position model. The record is from RNAcentral.